Molecule: long non-coding RNA, 2306 nt
Organism: Homo sapiens (human)
Lineage: Eukaryota; Metazoa; Chordata; Mammalia; Primates; Hominidae
Product: long intergenic non-protein coding RNA 2693
Source: Ensembl
AAUGCGCAUGCGCGAGGAGCGAGCCGCUUCUCCCCAUCACAGCGAUUCCCAGGGUUGUCAUAGAAACCACUCCCUGGGGCUUGGCAAAGCAGGAGCCCUCCGUGGCAGGGCUUCGGUGUCGGGGCUCCGAGGCUCCGGCCUGACUUCUCCACGGGGUCCACAGGAGCGUCUCCGGAUGCCAGGACCUGAAAUGGGCCGACCAGGAUGAGGAAACCACAGGCAGAGGCCGGGGAAGCAGCGCGGCAUCCCAUCCUCAGGCCUGCCCGGACGGUGUUCGGGAUCAAGAGGACCACACUCCAGCCCAGGACAAAAGCCCCACGGUAGCACAUUGUCCGGCAGGAGAGGAGCAGACCCACGUCCAAGAAGAUGGUUGUACCUUUCCACGCCUCUUCUCUGCGAAAUGAAGCCACACCAUGACACAAUCUUGAAGAGGAAGCCGGGAAUGGGAGACGGCAACAAUCCCUGUCCCUGGAACGCUGGCCUCUAUGGACAAGCCACCCGCUUCGCACCCCUCCCCUUAUGCCCGUGGCGGUGGCACGGCGCCGUAUCCUGCCUGGGCUCUGGCCUCUGCUCUGUCCUCCCUCUUCCACUGUCUCCCCUGUUUCUCAGCGGCCUAGAUGCCUCUUGGUCUGGCUGAAUAUCUUCUAUGAAGAUCACUUCCCCGUCCAUCAGGGAGACAAUUCCUGGAGAUUCGUGUCAUGACUGUUUCUCUCUCCAAACCUGUUUCUGCUGGAUUGCGCAGGUCUGAUGACCCUGGAGCUCUUGGCUUCCAUACGUGUCUCAGACAGAAUCAUCUCCCCUGCCCCACAAACAUGAAAGAAAAGACAAGAGAAGCACCCCAGAAGAGGAGGGGAGAAGUGCCCCAGAAAAAAUCAUCCAGUCUCUGAAGCUUUGCCCAGGAUCCAUUGCUGCAGCUUCCUGAAGUUGUGUCCGUUAAAAGGCAGGGACCCGGUGUCCAGGCUACAGAGGGUGACUCCAGGUUCCACACCACCACUGUGGACCAGUGUGCCUAUGGACUUAGGAGAGUUCCCAGAUCGCACAAGGGGGCUGCCCCAGAGGGUGUUCAGCUUGUUGCCAACAGUUGCUGAAGCCAAAGUCUGCAACCUUGAUGUUCAGGUCAAGUAGCCAGAAACAGGUGUUCUGGCUUUAGGUCCCUGUGGACAAUGCCAUUCUCUCCUUCCCAGGCUACUGAUGUCCUGGGUUGCUCCUCUUAUGGUAGAAGCUCAAGAUGGAAUGGCUGGAGCUUGGCUGCCUCCGGUUAGAGCCUGGGCUCUGUAUUGCAGACAUCACCUGGCAGAAUUCCUCAUGGGCCCCUUUUGUCGUGGGUGCGACUGCUGGGCCAGGGUUGUCGUGGGUAGUAAAGGUAUUUACCAAGACAACCGUGAGUAAAGAAAGGCAAAUUUAUUACAGAAACUAUGAAAAUACAUUGCAAGAAUGCAACAUGCAGCACAGCAGAGAAGGGGCUGUCUGCAAAGAUAAAGGGCUGGAGGGAAGUUUUCUAAGGUUGUGCUGGACGGCGCUAUGUGCAGGUGAGCUUGUGCUAUAUGCUAAGAAUAUGUUGGAAUAAUUUUAACUGCCAGACCUUUCCUCUUCUGGUGCCCGAGGGAAACGCCCUGCUGCUUUUAGCUGUCUUGUAACCCACACGCCUUUUCACUUCUGAAGUUGCAAGAAUAACGGCUGUGGUUUUUCACACAAAAGGGUUGCAGACUGGGUUAGGUCCCUGUUCCGCCAACCUGGCUGUUUCCCAGUUUCAGUUAACUUAGUGGUUUACUAGAGCCCCACACCUUUCUCUUUCAUAUGGCCAUGAUCCAGGAGGUAAUCCGUCACCUCCCCUCCACUAGAGUGCUCCAUGGCCAGGGAUAAUCCGUCACCUCCCCUCCACCAGAGUGCUCCAUGGCCAGGGGUAAUCCUCACCUCUCCUCCGCUAGAGUGUUCCAUGGCCAGGCAGUGUUUCCUGGGUCCAGAGCACCUCAAACAAUUUCAGUGUUGUGGUGACUCAGGGCCUUCACCAUACAGACUUGACAGCAUAGUCUAGAGGCUGGAGGGGCUCUGUGACUCCCAUUAAUGACAGUCACUGCCACGGUUUCCCCAGGCAGGAUGUGCCAGGAGAACUGCUCCAUGUUGGCUCAGCAGAAUGUUAUUAUAGGUAGCUCAAAAAGAGAGGGAACAGGGCUUCUCUAGAUUAUUUCAGGGAACGAGCUAUUAUUUGAAUGUUAAUUUAAGACUAUUUUAUCAAUUAAAAAUGUAAGGCCCAAGAAACUUCAGUGAGGAAGAAUGAACAAAUUGAAUAAAUACUGUUAAACUUU